RNAcentral lists this ribosomal RNA (477 nucleotides) under uncultured bacterium. RNAcentral's name for it is "bacterial SSU rRNA". It matches the Rfam family "Bacterial small subunit ribosomal RNA", at positions 501 to 981 of the family's 1533-position model. The record is from RNAcentral.
CUACGUGCCAGCAGCCGCGGUAAUACGGAAGGUCCAGGCGUUAUCCGGAUUUAUUGGGUUUAAAGGGAGCGUAGGCGGAUUAUUAAGUGUGUUGUGAAAUGUAGACGCUCAACGUCUGAAUUGCAGCGCAUACUGGUUUCCUUGAGUACGCACAACGUUGGCGGAAUUCGUCGUGUAGCGGUGAAAUGCUUAGAUAUGACGAAGAACUCCGAUUGCGAAGGCAGCUGACGGGAGCGCAACUGACGCUUAAGCUCGAAGGUGCGGGUAUCGAACAGGAUUAGAUACCCUGGUAGUCCGCACAGUAAACGAUGGAUGCCCGCUGUUGGUACCUGGUAUCAGCGGCUAAGCGAAAGCAUUAAGCAUCCCACCUGGGGAGUACGCCGGCAACGGUGAAACUCAAAGGAAUUGACGGGGGCCCGCACAAGCGGAGGAACAUGUGGUUUAAUUCGAUGAUACGCGAGGAACCUUACCCGGGCU